Molecule: ribosomal RNA, 120 nt
Filed under: uncultured bacterium
Lineage: Bacteria
Description: partial 16S ribosomal RNA
Rfam family: Bacterial small subunit ribosomal RNA
Source: RNAcentral
UACACACCGCCCGUCACACCAUGGGAGCGGGAUGUACCAGAAGUAGGUAGGCUAACUCGUAAGAGAGGCCGCUUACCACGGUGCGUUUCGUGACUGGGGUGAAGUCGUAACAAGGUACCC